This 78-nucleotide transfer RNA is filed under the name Burkholderiaceae bacterium. Its description in RNAcentral is "tRNA-Pro". It matches the Rfam family "tRNA". Rfam says of the family: Transfer RNA (tRNA) molecules are approximately 80 nucleotides in length. Their secondary structure includes four short double-helical elements and three loops (D, anti-codon, and T loops). The record is from RNAcentral. Lineage: Bacteria; Pseudomonadati; Pseudomonadota; Betaproteobacteria; Burkholderiales; Burkholderiaceae.
CCGAGAUUAGCUCAGUCUGUUUAGAGCACUAAGUUUGGGACUUAGGGGCCACUGGUUAGAAUCCAGUAUCUCGGACAA